This 197-nucleotide unclassified non-coding RNA is filed under the name plant metagenome. RNAcentral's name for it is "partial contains small subunit ribosomal RNA, internal transcribed spacer 1, and 5.8S ribosomal RNA". The record is from RNAcentral.
UCUCCGUUCGUGAACCAGCGGAGGGAUCAUUACCGAGUGCAAACUCAUAACCCUUUGUGAAUCUAUAUCUGUUGCUUCGGCGGCUCGCUCUCGGGCGAGCCCGCCGGUAAUAUCAGUAUCUCUGUUUGAACCCGACGAUACUUCUGAGUGUUCUUAGCGAACAGUUAAAACUUUUAACAACGGAUCUCUUGGCUCUA